Long non-coding RNA from Artibeus jamaicensis (Jamaican fruit-eating bat), 430 nucleotides. RefSeq lists it as uncharacterized. NCBI's taxonomy places the organism in Eukaryota, Metazoa, Chordata, Mammalia, Chiroptera, Phyllostomidae. The transcript has 3 exons. The record is from RefSeq and is a predicted model, not a curated record.
AAAGCCCAGCAGCACCAGGCCCAGGAACAGGGGGGCGACGAGCGGACCGAGGCGGCCGGCAGUCAUGGUGCUGCGCCCGGCGGGGUGCAGGAACUCUCUGCUGCUGAAGGCUAUAAGCGGGUCUGGGGCAGUGACCCUUGGGAUGACAGGCAGCCCUCUGAUUACCCUCUGAGGGGCUCCUGGAGGCAGACCGCCUGACAGCCAUUGUCCAGGUCACCGGGCAUGACCAGACCUCCUGUCACUCAUCCUCCAGACCGCCUGGCAUCUGAUAACCAUCCUGAAUCAAUCGAAGAAUGCAGGACUGAUCAUUCUCAAGAUUGUGCUUUUACUAUAAGAACUCUUAACUUUCCUUUCUUCUUUAAAACACUUCUGUGUCUUUUCCUAAUUUUGUUUUCAGUUUGCAAACCCCAAAACUCUUAAUAAACCUUUG